UAGGUGUUAGUGAAUUUUUUCACUAGUGCCGAAGCUAACGCAUUAAGUAUACCGCCUGGGGAGUACGCCCGCAAGGGUGAAACUCAAAGAAAUUGACGGGGGCCCGCACAAGCGGUGGAGCAUGUGGUUUAAUUCGAUGAUACGCGAAGAACCUUACCUGGGCUUGAACUGCAUCUGACAGGUGUAGAGAUACACCCUCCUUCGGGCAGGUGCAGAGGUGCUGCAUGGUUGUCGUCAGCUCGUGUCGUGAGAUGUUGGGUUAAGUCCCGCAACGAGCGCAACCCUUACCCCUUGUUGCUAACAGGUAACGCUGAGCACUCUAGGGGGACUGCCGGUGAUAAACCGGAGGAAGGUGGGGAUGACGUCAAAUCAUCACGGCCCUUAUGUCCAGGGCUACACACGUGCUACAAUGGCCGGUACAAAGAGUUGCGAUGCCGCGAGGUGGAGCCAAUCUCAAAAAACCGGUCUCAGUUCGGAUUGUAGUCUGCAACUCGACUGCAUGAAGCUGGAAUCGCUAGUAAUCGUAGAUCAGCACGCUACGGUGAAUACGUUCCCGGGCCUUGUACACACCGCCCGUCACACCACCCGAGUUAGCAGCACCCGAAGUGGCUGAUCUAACCCGCAAGGGAAGAAGGUUACUAAGGUGAAGCUGGUGAGGGGGGUGAAGUCGUAACAAGGUAGCCGUAUCGGAAGGUGCGGCUU
This 702-nucleotide ribosomal RNA is filed under the name alkali sediment metagenome. RNAcentral describes it as "bacterial SSU rRNA". It matches the Rfam family "Bacterial small subunit ribosomal RNA", at positions 817 to 1520 of the family's 1533-position model. The record is from RNAcentral.